GGAACAUACCCUUUCCUGCAGGAAUAGCUCCGGGAUACUAGAAUUAGAUACCGCAUACGCCCUACGGGGGAAAGAUUUAUCGGGAAGGACUGGCCCGCGUUGGAUUAGCUAGUUGGUGGGGUAAAGUCCCAGCAAGGCGAC
RNAcentral lists this ribosomal RNA (141 nucleotides) under Rhizobium sp. PS-1. RNAcentral describes it as "partial 16S ribosomal RNA". It matches the Rfam family "Bacterial small subunit ribosomal RNA", at positions 121 to 277 of the family's 1533-position model. The record is from RNAcentral. Lineage: Bacteria; Pseudomonadati; Pseudomonadota; Alphaproteobacteria; Hyphomicrobiales; Rhizobiaceae.